RNAcentral lists this unclassified non-coding RNA (177 nucleotides) under uncultured fungus. RNAcentral's name for it is "sequence contains ITS1". Lineage: Eukaryota; Fungi. The record is from RNAcentral.
UUGACAAUUUGUAUUAUACUCAGAGAGACAACGCUAGAGACAGAGUUGUAGGCCGCCGGCGGGCUCAACGGCGCGAGGCCGGGCGCCCGCCGAGGCAACGUUUCGGUAGGUUCGCGAGGGUUGCAGGGAGAUCUUGCGAUUCCUGUAAUGAUCCCUCCGCUGGUUCACCAACGGAGA